RNAcentral lists this ribosomal RNA (2857 nucleotides) under Cronobacter sakazakii. RNAcentral's name for it is "bacterial LSU rRNA". It matches the Rfam family "Bacterial large subunit ribosomal RNA". Lineage: Bacteria; Pseudomonadati; Pseudomonadota; Gammaproteobacteria; Enterobacterales; Enterobacteriaceae. The record is from RNAcentral.
UAAUCUGCGAAAAGCGCCGGUAAGGUGAUAUGAACCGUUAUAACCGGCGAUGUCCGAAUGGGGAAACCCGGUGCACUUCGGUGCAUCAUCGUUAGCUGAAUACAUAGGCUAACGAGGCGAACCGGGGGAACUGAAACAUCUAAGUACCCCGAGGAAAAGAAAUCAACCGAGAUUCCCCCAGUAGCGGCGAGCGAACGGGGAACAGCCCAGAGCCUGAAUCAGCUUGUGUGUCAGUGGAACGGUCUGGAAAGGCCGGCGAUACAGGGUGACAGCCCCGUACACGAAGGCACACAGGCUGUGAGCUCGAUGAGUAGGGCGGGACACGUGAUAUCCUGUCUGAAGAUGGGGGGACCAUCCUCCAAGGCUAAAUACUCCUGACUGACCGAUAGUGAACCAGUACCGUGAGGGAAAGGCGAAAAGAACCCCGGCGAGGGGAGUGAAACAGAACCUGAAACCGUGUACGUACAAGCAGUGGGAGCCUUCGUAAGAGGGUGACUGCGUACCUUUUGUAUAAUGGGUCAGCGACUUAUAUUCUGUAGCAAGGUUAACCGUAUAGGGGAGCCGAAGGGAAACCGAGUCUUAACCGGGCGUUAAGUUGCAGGGUAUAGACCCGAAACCCGGUGAUCUAGCCAUGGGCAGGUUGAAGGUUGGGUAACACUAACUGGAGGACCGAACCGACUAAUGUUGAAAAAUUAGCGGAUGACCUGUGGCUGGGGGUGAAAGGCCAAUCAAACCGGGAGAUAGCUGGUUCUCCCCGAAAGCUAUUUAGGUAGCGCCUCGUGAACUCAUCUCCGGGGGUAGAGCACUGUUUCGGCUAGGGGGCCAUCCCGGCUUACCAACCCGAUGCAAACUGCGAAUACCGGAGAAUGUUAUCACGGGAGACACACGGCGGGUGCUAACGUCCGUCGUGAAGAGGGAAACAACCCAGACCGCCAGCUAAGGUCCCAAAGUCAUGGUUAAGUGGGAAACGAUGUGGGAAGGCCCAGACAGCCAGGAUGUUGGCUUAGAAGCAGCCAUCAUUUAAAGAAAGCGUAAUAGCUCACUGGUCGAGUCGGCCUGCGCGGAAGAUGUAACGGGGCUAAACCAUGCACCGAAGCUGCGGCAGCGACACUGUGUGUUGUUGGGUAGGGGAGCGUUCUGUAAGCCUGCGAAGGUGUGCUGUGAGGCAUGCUGGAGGUAUCAGAAGUGCGAAUGCUGACAUAAGUAACGAUAAAGCGGGUGAAAAGCCCGCUCGCCGGAAGACCAAGGGUUCCUGUCCAACGUUAAUCGGGGCAGGGUGAGUCGACCCCUAAGGCGAGGCCGAAAGGCGUAGUCGAUGGGAAACAGGUUAAUAUUCCUGUACUUGGUGUUACUGCGAAGGGGGGACGGAGAAGGCUAUGUCGGCCGGGCGACGGUUGUCCCGGUUUAAGCGUGUAGGCUGACUUUCCAGGCAAAUCCGGAAGGUUAAGGCUGAGGCGUGAUGACGAGGCACCACGGUGCUGAAGUGACAAAUGCCCUGCUUCCAGGAAAAGCCUCUAAGCAUCAGGUAACAUCAAAUCGUACCCCAAACCGACACAGGUGGUCAGGUAGAGAAUACCAAGGCGCUUGAGAGAACUCGGGUGAAGGAACUAGGCAAAAUGGUGCCGUAACUUCGGGAGAAGGCACGCUGACAUGUAGGUGAAGCCCCUGCGGGUGGAGCUGAAGUCAGUCGAAGAUACCAGCUGGCUGCAACUGUUUAUUAAAAACACAGCACUGUGCAAACACGAAAGUGGACGUAUACGGUGUGACGCCUGCCCGGUGCCGGAAGGUUAAUUGAUGGGGUUAUCGCAAGAGAAGCUCCUGAUCGAAGCCCCGGUAAACGGCGGCCGUAACUAUAACGGUCCUAAGGUAGCGAAAUUCCUUGUCGGGUAAGUUCCGACCUGCACGAAUGGCGUAAUGAUGGCCAGGCUGUCUCCACCCGAGACUCAGUGAAAUUGAACUCGCUGUGAAGAUGCAGUGUACCCGCGGCAAGACGGAAAGACCCCGUGAACCUUUACUACAGCUUGACACUGAACAUUGAGCCUUGAUGUGUAGGAUAGGUGGGAGGCUUUGAAGCGUGGACGCCAGUCUGCGUGGAGCCGACCUUGAAAUACCACCCUUUAAUGUUUGAUGUUCUAACCUGGCGCCGUGAUCCGGCGUGGGGACAGUGUCUGGUGGGUAGUUUGACUGGGGCGGUCUCCUCCCAAAGUGUAACGGAGGAGCACGAAGGUCAGCUAAUCCUGGUCGGACAUCAGGAGGUUAGUGCAAUGGCAUAAGCUGGCUUGACUGCGAGAGUGACGGCUCGAGCAGGUGCGAAAGCAGGUCAUAGUGAUCCGGUGGUUCUGUAUGGAAGGGCCAUCGCUCAACGGAUAAAAGGUACUCCGGGGAUAACAGGCUGAUACCGCCCAAGAGUUCAUAUCGACGGCGGUGUUUGGCACCUCGAUGUCGGCUCAUCACAUCCUGGGGCUGAAGUAGGUCCCAAGGGUAUGGCUGUUCGCCAUUUAAAGUGGUACGCGAGCUGGGUUUAGAACGUCGUGAGACAGUUCGGUCCCUAUCUGCCGUGGGCGCUGGAGAAUUGAGGGGGGCUGCUCCCAGUACGAGAGGACCGGAGUGGACGCAUCACUGGUGUUCGGGUUGUCAUGCCAAUGGCACUGCCCGGUAGCUAAAUGCGGAAGAGAUAAGUGCUGAAAGCAUCUAAGCACGAAACUUGCCCCGAGAUGAGUUCUCCCUGAGACUGUAAGUCUCCUGAAGGAACGUUGAAGACGACGACGUUGAUAGGCCGGGUGUGUAAGCGCAGCGAUGCGUUGAGCUAACCGGUACUAAUGAACCGUGAGGCUUAACCUUACAACGCCAAAGAAGU